RNAcentral lists this small RNA (305 nucleotides) under Pan troglodytes (chimpanzee). RNAcentral's name for it is "processed transcript". Lineage: Eukaryota; Metazoa; Chordata; Mammalia; Primates; Hominidae. The record is from RNAcentral.
AGGAACCGGAAACUGGAUGGGGAGCUGGACCAGGCUGGAGUGCAAUGGCGCGAUCUCAGCUCACUGCAGCCUCCGCCUCCUGGGUUCAAGCGAUUCUCCUGCCUCAGCCUCCCGAAAAAUUCUUGCUGCUGUAUUGAGAAUAGAUUGAGAAAACAAGGGCAGAAGCAGGGAGACCAGUCAGGAGCUGAUUGCAGUAUCAGGCUGGUCUGGAACUCCUGGGCUGAAGCUAUCCUCUUGCCUUGGCCUCCCUAAAUGUUGGAAUUACAGACAUGGGCCACUACACCUGGCGAUCUGUGUCUUAUACG